Molecule: ribosomal RNA, 864 nt
Filed under: uncultured bacterium
Lineage: Bacteria
Description: bacterial SSU rRNA
Rfam family: Bacterial small subunit ribosomal RNA
Source: RNAcentral
AGUCGACGGUAACAGGACUUCGGUCGCUGACGAGUGGCGCACGGGUGAGUAACGCGUGGGUUACCUGCCCAUAAGUGGGGAACAACUUGGAGAAAUCCAAGCUAAUACCGCAUAAUACCUUCGGGUUAAAGAGGGGGAUCUUCGGACCUCUCGCUUAUGGAUGGUCCCGCGUCUGAUUAGCUAGUUGGUAGGGUAAUGGCCUACCAAGGCAAUGAUCAGUAGCUGGUCUGAGAGGAUGAUCAGUCACACUGGAACUGAGACACGGUCCAGACUCCUACGGGAGGCAGCAGUGGGGAAUUUUGCACAAUGGGCGAAAGCCUGAUGCAGCGACGCCGCGUGCGGGAAGAAGGCCUUCGGGUUGUAAACCGCUUUCAACAGGGAAGAAGGAAUGAGAGCUAAUACCUCUCUGCCUUGACGGUACCUGUAGAAGAAGCACCGGCUAAUUUCGUGCCAGCAGCCGCGGUAAUACGAAAGGUGCAAGCGUUGUUCGGAUUUACUGGGCGUAAAGAGAUCGUAGGUGGCUUGUUAAGCCGGAUGUGAAAUCCCGGGGCUCAACCCCGGAACUGCAUCCGAUACUGGCAGGCUUGAGUUUGGGAGGGGUAAGCGGAAUUCCGUGUGUAGCAGUGAAAUGCGUAGAUAUACGGAGGAACACCUGAGGCGAAGGCGGCUUACUGGACCAAUACUGACACUGAGGAUCGAAAGCGUGGGUAGCAAACAGGAUUAGAUACCCUGGUAGUCCACGCCCUAAACGAUGUCAACUAGCCGUUGCGGGUAUCGACCCCUGCAGUGGCGCAGCUAACGCGAUAAGUUGACCGCCUGGGGAGUACUGUCGCAGAUUAAAACUCAAAGGAGUUGACGGGGGCC